CAACGAAUAUUCCGCAAUGGGCGCAAGCCUGACGGAGCGACGCCGCGUGGGGGAUGAAGUCCUUCGGGAUGUAAACUCUAAUAGUAUGUUAGGAAGCGAGUCGACCUAACACGUCGGCAAGUUGACCGACAUACGAAAGGGGCGGCUAACUCCGUGCCAGCAGCCGCGGUAAGACGGAGGCCCCGAGCGUUGUUCGGAAUCACUGGGCUUAAAGCGCGUGUAGGCGGGACGGUAAGUACCUUGUGAAAUCCCCGGCUUCAAUCCGGGAACUGCUCGGUAUACUACCGUUCUUGAGGCAGGUAGGGGUCACUGGAACCUUAGGUGGAGCGGUGAAAUGCGUAGAUAUCUAAGGGAACGCCUGUGGCGAAAGCGGGUGACUGGGCCUGUCCUGACGCUGAGACGCGAAAGCGUAGGGAGCAAACG
RNAcentral lists this ribosomal RNA (423 nucleotides) under uncultured prokaryote. RNAcentral's name for it is "bacterial SSU rRNA". It matches the Rfam family "Bacterial small subunit ribosomal RNA", at positions 355 to 774 of the family's 1533-position model. The record is from RNAcentral.